RNAcentral lists this ribosomal RNA (814 nucleotides) under uncultured Oscillatoriales cyanobacterium. RNAcentral describes it as "bacterial SSU rRNA". It matches the Rfam family "Bacterial small subunit ribosomal RNA", at positions 8 to 864 of the family's 1533-position model. The record is from RNAcentral. Lineage: Bacteria; Bacillati; Cyanobacteriota; Cyanophyceae; Oscillatoriales.
AGAGUUUGAUCCUGGCUCAGGAUGAACGCUGGCGGUCUGCUUAACACAUGCAAGUCGAACGGACGUUUUCGGACGUUAGUGGCGGACGGGUGAGUAACGCGUGAGAAUCUGCCUUCAGGUUGGGGACAACAGUUGGAAACGACUGCUAAUACCCAAUGUGCCGAGAGGUGAAAGCUUUAGUGCCUGAGGAUGAGCUCGCGUCUGAUUAGCUAGUUGGAGUGGUAAUGGCACACCAAGGCGACGAUCAGUAGCUGGUCUGAGAGGAUGAUCAGCCACACUGGGACUGAGACACGGCCCAGACUCCUACGGGAGGCAGCAGUGGGGAAUUUUCCGCAAUGGGCGCAAGCCUGACGGAGCAAGACCGCGUGAGGGAGGAAGGCUCUUGGGUUGUAAACCUCUUUUAUCAGGGAAGAAGAUCUGACGGUACCUGAUGAAUCAGCAUCGGCUAACUCCGUGCCAGCAGCCGCGGUAAUACGGAGGAUGCAAGCGUUAUCCGGAUUUAUUGGGCGUAAAGCGUCCGCAGGUGGUUUUUCAAGUCUGCUGUUAAAGCGCGAGGCUUAACCUCGUAACGGCGGUGGAAACUGAGAGACUAGAGUAUGGUAGGGGUAGCGGGAAUUCCCAGUGUAGCGGUGAAAUGCGUAGAUAUUGGGAAGAACACCAGCGGCGAAAGCGCGCUACUGGGCCAUAACUGACACUCAUGGACGAAAGCUAGGGGAGCGAAAGGGAUUAGAUACCCCUGUAGUCCUAGCUGUAAACGAUGGAUACUAGGUGUUGCCCGUAUCGACCCGGGCAGUGCCGUAGCUAACGCGUUAAG